RNAcentral lists this ribosomal RNA (392 nucleotides) under uncultured organism. RNAcentral describes it as "bacterial SSU rRNA". It matches the Rfam family "Bacterial small subunit ribosomal RNA", at positions 45 to 433 of the family's 1533-position model. The record is from RNAcentral.
GGCCUAACACAUGCAAGUCGUGCGGUAACAGGAAGAAGCUUGCUUCUUUGCUGACGAGCGGCGGACGGGUGAGGAAGAUCUGGGGAUCUGCCUGAUGGAGGGGGAUAACUACUGGAAACGAUGGCUAAUACCGCAUAAUGUCGAAAGACCAAAGCGGGGGACCUUAGGGCCUCGCGCCAUCAGAUGAACCCAGACGGGAUUAGCCAGUUGGUGAGGUAACGGCUCACCAAAGCGACGAUCCCUAGCUGGUCUGAGAGGAUGACCAGCCACACUGGAACUGAGACACGGUCCAGACUCCUACGGGAGGCAGCAGUGGGGAAUAUUGCACAAUGGGGGAAACCCUGAUGCAGCCAUGCCGCGUGUGUGAAGAAGGCCUUCGGGUUGUAAAGCGC